UACGGAGGGUGCAAGCGUUAUCCGGAUUCACUGGGUUUAAAGGGUGCGUAGGUGGUCAGGUAAGUCCGUGGUGAAAUCUCUGAGCUUAACUCAGAAACUGCCGUGGAUACUAUCUGUCUUGAAUAUUGUGGAGGUAAGCGGAAUAUGUCAUGUAGCGGUGAAAUGCUUAGAUAUGACAUAGAACACCAAUUGCGAAGGCAGCUUACUACACAGUAAUUGACGCUGAGGCACGAAAGCGUGGGGAUCAAACAGG
RNAcentral lists this ribosomal RNA (253 nucleotides) under uncultured bacterium. RNAcentral's name for it is "partial 16S ribosomal RNA". It matches the Rfam family "Bacterial small subunit ribosomal RNA", at positions 524 to 776 of the family's 1533-position model. The record is from RNAcentral.